Molecule: ribosomal RNA, 465 nt
Filed under: uncultured bacterium
Lineage: Bacteria
Description: partial 16S ribosomal RNA
Rfam family: Bacterial small subunit ribosomal RNA
Source: RNAcentral
GACGAACGCUGGCGGCGUGCUUAACACAUGCAAGUCGAACGGAAAGGCCCCUUUUGGGUUGCUCGAGUGGCGAACGGGUGAGUAACACGUGAGUAACCUGCCCUCGACUGCGGGAGAACUUCAUUAAACUGGGGCGAAUACCGGCUAGGAAUCCGUGCUGCAUGGUGGGGGGUGGAAAGCUUCGGCGGGUGUGGAUGGACUGGCGGGCUAUUAGCUUGUUGGUGGGGUAGUGGCUUACCAAGGCUUUGACGGGUAGCCGGCCGGGGGGGGCGAACGGCCACAUUGGGAAUGGGAUUAGGGCCAGAACCCCACGGGAGGGAGGAGGGGGGAAUAAUGGCCCAUGGGCGGGAGCCCGAUGGAGCAACCCCGCGGGCGGGAUGACGGGCUUUGGGUUGGAAACCGGCUUCAGCAGGGGAGAAGCUUGUGGUGACGGUACCUGCAGAAGAAGCACCGGCUAACUACGUG